Molecule: ribosomal RNA, 310 nt
Filed under: uncultured Agaricales
Lineage: Eukaryota; Fungi; Basidiomycota; Agaricomycetes; Agaricales
Description: eukaryotic LSU rRNA
Rfam family: 5.8S ribosomal RNA (bases 1-81)
Source: RNAcentral
AGUACGCUAUGUGAAUCAUCGAAUCUUUGAACGCACAUUGCACUGUCUGGAAUCCCGGACAGUAUAUCUGUUUGAGUAUUGUAUCAUAAUCACUUUCAACUUCAGUGCAAACUGUUGCAGUCAGUGGAAUUGGGGAAACGUACCUAAACAUGCGAACCCUUAAAUCGAGUCCAACAUUCUUAUGGAGUAGUCCGAAAGGUGCCUCUUGAACGAAUGUGAUUCACAUAAGGAGGUCUCAUACCCUCUUUGCUUUACUAUCUCAAAUCAGAUAAGAGCACCCACUGAACUUAAGCAUAUCAAUAAGCGGAGG